Molecule: non-coding RNA, 108 nt
Organism: Paramuricea clavata
Lineage: Eukaryota; Metazoa; Cnidaria; Anthozoa; Malacalcyonacea; Plexauridae
Source: the annotation of a GenBank genome assembly
UUAACAAAAUACAAAACAAGUGUAACUCCAAAGAUCGAUAACAUUUUUAUAUUUAUCUAAAAAUAUAAAAAUGUUAUCGAUCUUUGGAGUUACACUUGUUUCGUAUUU